GUGAAUCAUCAAAUUUUUGAACGCAAAUUGCACUCUCUUCGGAGAGUAUGCCUGUUUGAGGGUCAGCCUAAAAAAAAUCGACAUAGUCGCUGUUUCGCGGUGCCUUUCGUCGGAAAUUGGGUCAUCUUAAACCCUUGGGUUUUAAGCGGCUUAAAAUUUUCUUUACGAUUCUACGAACGUUUCUAAGAUUUCCUUACACGUUUACGGUAUCGAUUUUUAUUCGACGUUGCCGUUGCAUCGGGUCACGUCCAUAAAUAUUUCGUUGAAUAACCUUAAUCC
RNAcentral lists this unclassified non-coding RNA (279 nucleotides) under Glomus sp. RNAcentral's name for it is "partial contains 5.8S ribosomal RNA and internal transcribed spacer 2". The stretch from base 1 to 65 matches the Rfam family "5.8S ribosomal RNA", at positions 84 to 154 of the family's 154-position model. The record is from RNAcentral. Lineage: Eukaryota; Fungi; Glomeromycota; Glomeromycetes; Glomerales; Glomeraceae.